GACCCCAAGGCCCCAGGCCCAACAUUAGGAAAACUAACCCCUGUGCCCUGAAGCUGCAAGAUGUUCCAUAUAGAUAACCCCGGAAGGGCCAAACUUGAGCAAACAGGGUAAAAACAGGAACUAAAAGGACAGGAUGCAAUUUUAUGGUUUUUCUGAGAACUAAAGUGGAAAAACAAGUUUACCCCCCUAGGUGACUCAACUGCUGAAUUCAGAGGGACCAAUAGGAAGGCUGUUGCUGUGCUAAGCUAAGACCUAACCCACCUGUUCCCUAUAAAAGAUCUAUACCCCAAAGCCCGGUGUGCCAGUUCACCGAAGCUCCGGCUGAGGUUUUGCUGUGCACCCGCAGGCGCCUGUGUGAGAAUAAACGCCUCCUGCUUUUUGCAGCCAGUGUCUCGUGUGGUUCAUUCCGGGUUUGGGAUCUGUGGAUAUUUCAUUGUGGAGGCCCCACCGAGAUCCAAGAUCCCGGUUCCGGUUCCGAUCCCGGUCCCUAUCCGGAGGACACCCGACAUCACUGGGAGACUCAUUUGCAUGCUUUGCAAUUGGUCCAGAACGAGGUCUGGAAGCCUCUAGCCGCAGCAUACAAAGAGGAACUUAAAACCCCCUUGCUGCCACAUCCCUUCAAGGUCGGAGAUACCGUCUGGGUACGCAGGCACCAGAGCAGGAACCUCGAACCGCGGUGAAAAGGACCCUACACUAUCCUGCUGACCACUCCUACUGCACUCAAAGUGGACGGCAUCGCUGCUUAGAUCCAUGCUUCCCACGUGAAGACUGCACAUCCACAGGAGUCCGCAGACACCUCUCCGGAUCCAGAAUGGAAGUUGCAACGUACCCAAAAUCCGCUAAAGAUAAGACUCACUCGAUGUUGAUUUUUCUUGCUUUGUGCUGUGUCUUCCCCAUAUCAGUUAACCCCAACCAAUCUGUGAGCCAGACAUGACAAGUAUUAUCGGGGACAAGAAAUAUAAUUUAAAAAAAAACAACAAAAAACAAAAAACAAUGGGGCCUGAGAGUAUAUCAUAAAACUGCCUAUGACCCUGGGGUCCUAUUCAAAAUUAGAUUAAUAGUAAAUACCAACCCCCAACCAGUAUGCUGAGCCGUCAGCUGAAAUAAUGCUGGAAUCCGAGCAGAUGGGUCAAUGGAUAUAAGAUUAUAUCCAUGAUAUAAAAAAAGGGGGGAAUGAAGGACCCCAAGGCCCCAGGCCCAACAUUAGGAAAACUAACCCCUGUGCCCUGAAGCUGCAAGAUGUUCCAUAUAGAUAACCCCGGAAGGGCCAAACUUGAGCAAACAGGGUAAAAACAGGAACUAAAAGGACAGGAUGCAAUUUUAUGGUUUUUCUGAGAACUAAAGUGGGAAAACAAGUUUACCCCCCUAGGUGACUCAACUGCUGAAUUCAGAGGGACCAAUAGGAAGGCUGUUGCUGUGCUAAGCUAAGACCUAACCCACCUGUUCCCUAUAAAAGAUCUAUACCCCAAAGCCCGGUGUGCCAGUUCACCGAAGCUCCGGCUGAGGUUUUGCUGUGCACCCGCAGGCGCCUGUGUGAGAAUAAACGCCUCCUGCUUUUUGCA
Long non-coding RNA from Marmota monax (woodchuck), 1562 nucleotides. RefSeq lists it as uncharacterized. The record is from RefSeq and is a predicted model, not a curated record. NCBI's taxonomy places the organism in Eukaryota, Metazoa, Chordata, Mammalia, Rodentia, Sciuridae. The transcript has 2 exons.